ACCUUUCCUCUGCUUAGAAAGCAAAGGUAGAAGGUUUGGUUUGAGAAGAAGGGGAGGGAAGGGACGGGGCUUAAAGCAACACGAUGGAUUUCCGAGACGGUGUUAAAAUGGGGACGCACGAUAGGAAAUGCUUGCGGUUCCUUGGUGAACUUCCGGUCGCGUCGUGAGCUUUUUAGAAGAAUGCGGAAUUGAUAUUCCCCUGUACACCACGGAGCUCACAGACGCCUGCACGUCGAUGCCAUCUUUGCAGCGACUAUAACGAAGGCCACCGCCACUGCCUGUGAAGCCCUGAGGCCAGGGCAGCUGAUGUUUCCCAGCCCCUGAGCCACAUGACCAAAUGCAACGGAGCCGCCUCGUUGGUUCAUUAGGGAAGAAGGCGCAGCUUACACACAAGAGGCCUCAAAAUCAAAGGUCGCCGGGGUCAGACAAGUGUGCAGUGGCUUGAUGUGGGAUCUCAGUUCCAGAAGAGAGAUUAAACACGGGCUGUAGCUGCGAAGGCACUGAAUCCUAACCACCACACCACCAGGGAACUCCCAGCAAUAACCUUUCUCGAUGCCAGUGCUAAAGUGUGAAAUGGUUUCGGUUUCCUGCACCUACGCUGCACAGACUCCGCAGAGGUUUAUAUAAACCUCAGAUGCUCCUGUGGAGCCAUGAGAAACACUGUUUGAAGGCUCGAGAAACACUCACCUCCAGCUCACCCCGCAAGCCCCCAGCCCAGAGGGUGAAGUUUCUAAGCACUGAAUCCAAGCACAAAGUCCGACCGGGUCAACUGUCUUCUUUAAGGUCUGGCCACGGAGUCCUGCCACUGUCAGGGCUCAGCCCGAGAGCUUUAACCUGAGGAAAAAUGCAGCCAGAUGACCACAGCCCUCGUGUUCUCCAGCAGCGUAUGGUGUGCGGACAGAUGACCUUCCGCCUAGGUCUGCUCCUCUGGCCCAGCCCUGUACCCCACCCAGGCCACGCACAGACCUCCCCUCUCUUCCCGAAUGUCCUGCUCACCUCCAGCAUCACUUCCGCCACUGCUCCUCACCCGGACGGAUGCAGAAGGCGCCCAAGGAUCCCGCCCCCCCACCCUCAAAGACUGGCUCACACCCUUGAAACCUUCCACGGCGCCCCAUUUCUUGGGACACAGUGGAUUGCCUGGUGAUCCCUGGGUGCCCAGGACCCUCGAUUGUGCUGGGCUCUCAUCACUGCCUCAGCCCCACCAAGCCCAGUUCUGCACGUCGCAGGACUGGGUCAGUGUCCUGGAGGUGAUGGUGCUCUCAGAUGCUCCCGUACUUCCCACUGGACAGCCCAAAGACCCUUCCCUGUCCUGGGGUCUGGGGCUCUCCCGUCUCCGGAGGGCUGGUUUUUUCCCUCUGAAUAGGUGCUGAGCACAAGUCCCACACCUUGGAAUCACAAAGGGCGGGGUCAACAGAGCUGGAAGAGGUGAUCCUUCUGGUAAAAUCCAUGGGUUCUUCCCCUUUCCCCACCCCCGCCCCAGGUUCCCUCUCACUUAGGAGCUGACCUGCAGCCCUGGAUUUUCAGGAACCAUCUGAAAAAAAAAAAAAAAACGCAUCCUGGAAAGACUGGCCUUGUUCAGCAUAAUACACUUUAUUCUCACAAUGGAAAGUGAGAUUCUUUACAAUGUUGGCUAAGAAUCCCACAUAUGCAUGUGCGCACACACGUGCGCAAACACACACACACACACACACACGCCUAUUCAAUAAGGCAGAGCCAGCUCCCAAGUCUGUUUUACAUUUGACAACCAAGAAAAGGAGUUAGAUCUUCAAAAAUAUUUGUGUAAAGUCCCCUAGAAUCAUUGUUUCAUGCUGAUUUUGCUUCCCAGAGCCCAGGGCAGGCCGAACUUGAACAGAAGGAACCCUCAGCCCACGUGCAGACAGCGUGUUCGCAGAGAAGACAGCGGGUCGCCGGUCGCUGGUCUCCGGAGGGCAGCUUGGAGGCAGAGCUGUGUCGGAAGGAAGCAGCGAUGAGGCAGUUCCAGCCUCCCCCGUCCUUUGGCUGCAUGUGGCCUUUCACUUUCGUCCCCCCAACCCCCAACAUGCUGGCUGUGUGGAGGCCCAGAUGCAGGCUGGGACUGGACGGGGGCUGUGGUGCAUUUUGACUCCUUGAGGAGCGUGUGACAUGCCCUCGACACGGGGGAGCGAGCCCAGCCCUGAGCCCUGGUCCUGGGUCCUGGGAGAAUCGUUUCCCAGCAACUUUCCCCCAAUCAGGUGGUUCCCAAGAUCAGACCGACCUUGUCAGACAGGCCACGGUGGGAAAUAUACUUCACUUGCCGUCCCAGACGUGUUCUGGAGGGAAAAGCAGAGCUGGGACACACUUCGCAGGUGACACUGGUAGAGAAGCAACAGGUUCCUUGAGCCGUUAGUGAAAUCCGCAGGCCCUGGAACAAGGCUGGGGUCACGGCUGCGCUGGGAGCCCCUGCAGGGAUGGUCCCCCGGCGGCCGUCACAUCAGCAACACGGGAAGAGGCUUCAGCCUCUCAGAAGUAGCACAAAACAAGAAGGAAUUGCAGUUAAAUCUGUCAAAUUAACAUAUUUAAAAAACUGUCAUCUUUGAUCCUAUUGGGGAUACGGUGCACUAGAAUCAGAGAUUGCUGACGGCACGUAAAUUCACCCGGCUCCUUGGGGAAAUAAUUUGACGGCAUAUAAAAAUAAACAGAAAAGUCCUACCAACCUUAGACAUGAGAUAUGUAGCUUCCGGGAACCUCCUGCAAGGAAGGCGUCGCACGACCAGCAAGACCAGAAACAGGCGGAUUCAAAGAAGUCCGCGAGAGAAAGCCGCCUUUGAAAUUCCUUUUCAUCCAAAGCAGCGCCGAAUCCCACCUUUGAGGGCUCUGCACGGUGGUGUUAAUAACAGGGCCCGCGUGGGCACCAACACUGCCCAUUGGGUGGCAGCUCUAUUAUUGGGCAUGAAUGUCCGAGCAUAACAAAGUGGCUUUGGCUCUUUCUGGGGGCAGGGGGUGGGGUGAGGUGUGAAGCUGCCGCGGUGCCCAGGUGAGGCUGGGAUCUCGGGGAAGCAGCUGUGCACGGGCCCCGCCUGUGGGUGACCCGCAGGCUCUCUCGGGGCCAUUGCUUCUCUCCCCAGCUCGGCGUCCACGCUUGGAUCCAGGGCUCACUGACACAGGCGUGCUGCCAAAGAUGCCAGAGAGUUCCCUGUCGACUUGAGGAAGGCCUGAGAUGUUCUCACCGGCCCACAGGGUCACAAGAGCAGUGGACAUGUGGUCUUCCUGCCUGUGUGGCGAGCCAGAGCCACGGAGGCUGAGCCUGCCCCAGACUCAGGGGGGGACAGUGGGAGCUUGGCCCCGGAACCCUGGCGGGGAAGCGAGGCAUCCAUGCAGCACACAGGGGCACCCUUGCCCUGGCGGCUGUCAACUGUAACCUGGCACUUAGAGCCUCUCUUUCCUGCCACAAAGCCGCAUGAAGUGUCUGCCGUGGCAUCACUUCCACGGCGACGGUGGCUCAGCUCCUUAGCUGCACGGAGUGAAGGCCUCGUCUCUGGCCUGAGCUGCACAGAGGGAGCCGCCCCUGAUGUGUGCAGGGCUCCUUCAUAGCCUGUUUCCCGGCCACAUCUAGUUGUUUAGGCUGGGCGAUUACGUUUCCUUCUGGGUGAAAUGGGUUCAUGAUUUUUAUUCCCCGCAUAUGGGAGAUGGGCCGUCUCUAGGAACAGAGGGGAUAUUCAAGGAGGGGGGGUACCGUUAUGGGAAAGAAGCUGCGACGGGGGAGCAGGUGGGCUUGGACGUAGCCCCCUGUCCAUUCUCACACCUCCCCAGCCAGAGGAGCCCCUCGGAUGGCAAACCGUUUGAUCUCUUUGUUGCCUUGAGUCCUCUCCAACCUUCAAUUUCUCCCCAUGGGAGUUUGGCAAGGGAGAACCUCCAGUCUGAGCCCAGGCAGCCAGGCAGAGAGCCGGCUCACACUGGGGCCUCUUUGUCUGCUCAGGGAAUGCCCACGCCCGUCCGCCACCUUAUCAGACACGUGCACAAGCCCCGAGGGGAGCUGCUGCACCCCACUUUAUGGAAGAGGAGGCGAGACAUCCCCCAAGAUCACACGGUGAAUCUGUGCAGCCCUGGCUUAGAACAUCUGCACGAUUUUCACGCCUCCCUUUGGGCCGGAUCGCAGGCAGGUCACGUGUCGGGGGCUCAUUCCUGAAGGAGUCUGGUUAAACAUUGCUUUCAAGUUUGUUCUCUCUUUGCCUUCGAAACUCGCAGCUUUUAUAACCCCCCCGACCCUCUUCCAGCAAGACUGGGUGGUCAUGAUGGAGUUCGUUCCAAAGCGUUUUUGAGAAGCAGCUGUUUAUUAAAAUGCCAACAGCAGUGAUUAGUUUUGGAUGCUCUGCCAUGCAUCUGUUUGCUGCCUGACGACAUCCCUGGUUCAAGCUGGAAUCUGCCGCCGCCAGUUCUGCCAGGGCACCCUCCCCACCCCAUGUCGUUUCCAUGAGAUGCGUGUACUUUGUCCGAGGGAGAUCUGCAAGUCCGAUGUCCAUUUGGCAUUGUUGCAGAUGUAACUGGCACUUCUUGAAGGAAAAAAAAAAAGGCGAAGGAACCUGGAGGUCCACAGUUUGGAAUCUCUAAAGGGGACAGCUGUUCGCCGAGGUUCCCGAAGUGGUGAUGGAUGCCCGGCGCCCUCAAUCACAUCUGUACGGGGACGGAGGAGGGACGGGCUGGGAACUCUGGUGGAAAGACAUCUGUCGGCAGCCAAACGUGGAUCCAAGUCCGUGCAGCAGAGUAUGCAAAACAGCAUCUGAUGGUGGCUCUUUCUGUGGUUUCUUUCUUUUUUUUUUUUUUUUCUGAGGAGGGAGGCAGAAGCACGCAUUUUUCAUCUCAGUGGGGAAGUAGGAGACACUGGCGCCUUGACCUCACGUCUCCAAACCCUGAGGUGUUGGAAACAGUGCUUAACAGACCUUGUGCUUGGUCAGCCCGCGGACUGGCAAACCCAUGAAACGAGGUUCCGAAUGGAACACACACCUGUCCGCAGACGGCCGGGGCCGAGCUCCUUGGAGAAGGACGGUGUGGCGGAGAGGGUCUGGGGGUGGGGGUAAGCUGUGCACCCAGACAUUGGUCGGCGGAACUGACUUGUGGUCAGUCCGCUUGCCACAGGAAUGCUUUGCAGCGAGACGGAACCCUGGAAACGGAACAUAAUUCACUUUACUGAAUUCAGUUCGCCAGGGUAUUGAUUGGGUGCAUCACCUGUGUGUUAAAUGCGUUUCUAUUAACUGCUAAUAAAACGUGUAGCAAUUCCAGUUGCUACUGGUU
Molecule: long non-coding RNA, 5247 nt
Filed under: Sus scrofa (pig)
Lineage: Eukaryota; Metazoa; Chordata; Mammalia; Artiodactyla; Suidae
Description: lncRNA (ENSSSCG00035064029.1)
Source: RNAcentral